This is a long non-coding RNA of Rosa chinensis, 708 nucleotides long. RefSeq lists it as uncharacterized. Lineage: Eukaryota; Viridiplantae; Streptophyta; Magnoliopsida; Rosales; Rosaceae. The record is from RefSeq and is a predicted model, not a curated record. The transcript is spliced from 5 exons.
GACCCCGUAUCAUGAAGUAUGUGAAAGACCCUUAAUAGUAUGCUUAUAUAAUUUCAUGUUGCCCUGCAUUACAUAAAGAGGGGCAAAACUCCGAGGCUCUUAUUCGGAUUAAAAGCGUAGCUCAGUACCUUUAUUUGAGAAGCAACCCAUCCAUGUUCAGAGAUGACAGUUCUCCGCCAGUCUACUGGUGAUAACCAUUUGAUUCUGCACUUGGGAAUAAAUUUUCUGAUAGCUGAUGAUAUGCUUGGAAUACUUGCUGUCAAGCUAAAGAAAGGAUCGGCUUUGGAAUUUGGGCGAAGUUGCAUAUUACCGGCAUGCAUGUUGAAGGGAAGGCCAUUAACUAUAGUGCACAAAAGAAGGCUGUUUCAGAAUUUAAAAGCACAUUACUAAUACAGCUCAAAGGUCAAUCUCCACUUCACAUUGAUUGACAACUUCCACAUUGCAAAGUAUUGGUUGUGUUAGCUACAAAACUACAUCCUUUGCUUCAGCAAUUCAGUAAGUUGCAUACAUGCAGUUGCUUAUCUUUCGUUAAUAGAAUAUACUGAAUUCUUUCUUGAGGUAUCUACAUAGUGAUCUGAGGUUUGGUGCGUACUUUGACGUAAAAUAGUUUAUUCUAAGCCUAACUAUUUUGUUUCAAUAUGUAUGUCUUCAAAUCUGUAACUGUAAGAAAUACUUUGGUUACUUAUAGCAUGUUUCAAAUUUUCAUGU